Haliotis rubra (blacklip abalone) is the source of this 168-nucleotide long non-coding RNA. RefSeq lists it as uncharacterized. The record is from RefSeq and is a predicted model, not a curated record. The transcript is spliced from 3 exons. NCBI's taxonomy places the organism in Eukaryota, Metazoa, Mollusca, Gastropoda, Lepetellida, Haliotidae.
CCUUUCCGUAGCUUCACCUCCAGCCUGGAACAUCAACAUCAGUAUAGUAGAAUAUUUCACAGCCAUUCAACAAUUACAAUCUCAGUGCUGACUGACUACUUCAUGUUAUCUACCUGCCUAAAAUUAUACAAUGAGGAUUCAUGGUCAGAUUAGGUCUUGAUCUGGGUC